This is a long non-coding RNA of Photinus pyralis (common eastern firefly), 602 nucleotides long. RefSeq lists it as uncharacterized. The record is from RefSeq and is a predicted model, not a curated record. Lineage: Eukaryota; Metazoa; Arthropoda; Insecta; Coleoptera; Lampyridae. The transcript has 3 exons.
AGAAAGCAAUAUUGUUAUCGUUAUGGUACCUUGCCAAUACAGAAACAUUUCGACAGGUUGCGGAUCGUUUCAAUGUGUCUUUAAGUUCAGCACAUAGGUGUUUGUAUGGCCUUGUAAGAACGAAGCGAAACAUAUUGGUGAAGAAUUUGAGAAAAAGUAGGGAAUCAAAAAUGUUAUUGGGGCAAUUGACGGCUGUCACAUUCGAAUAAAUAAACCCAAACUCAAUCAAGAUUCGUAUGUUAACCGAAAAGAUGUAUAUUGUGGAGAACCUGGGUCUUUGCAUGAUGCCAGAUUGUUGCGUAAAUCAACAUUAUAUGCAAAGGCUGCAGAAAAUGAAGACAUAUUUUAUAAUAUGUUUUUGUUGGGAGACUCGGCAUAUCCAUGUCUUAAUUGGAUUGUCCCACCGUUUAAAGAUAAUGGCAACUUAACUGUACAGCAGAAAAGAUUUAAUUAUAAACAUUCCAGCACUAGAAUUUGUGUAGAAAAUGCAUUUGGCUUGUUGAAGGGAAGAUUUCGCAGGUUGACACAUUUUGAGAAUUUAGAUAUGCAUCUAAUUGUUAAAUGCAUCAUGGCAUGUUGUGUUCUUCACAACCUUUGUCUUA